GGCGUGAAGGUCAGGGCUGCUUGUGCGGGGAGGGGCAGUUGUGCCUCUGUUUCCCAGGAAAGCGCCAGGCUUCCUUCUCUGGCUGUGGGCAGGUGGCUGCGGCUCACGCGCACCUGAGUCCUGUUAUUUUUAGGAGAAAGCGAAUCCCUCUCCAGCUGGGCUUCAUAAGGGCUCUGUGGUGCGGGGUGUGGGCCUGGGGACAGCAGGGCCCGUGGAGGCAGAGUCUACUCCUGGGAGCUUCCUUCCAGGCCCAGAGACGCCGACGCAAAAGGGUCCUGACCGCCGAGAGGGACACAAGCUGGGCGCACGUGGAUCUGGGCUCCUCUGACUGCACACACUGCACCUCGCUGUGUCUGCCUCCUCCAACAGUCUGGACCCCCCAACUGGGAGCACAUCAUCCCCUGCACCCCGCACCCCAGCCCGGCUCACAGACGCAGGGCCCAGGACUGAAAUGUGCCCAUCUCGGGCCGAGGGUGGCAGGAAGUGAUCCAAAGGAGAAAGGCCAGAUAUACUGUCAGUCCUUGCAAAGCCAUCAUCUGCAGGGUGACAGACAGCACACCGGAGCCCGUGGGCUGCCUGGCUUCAGCACAGUCGCCAGCUGCACACGUGGGCCCUGGACACCUGCCCUGUGAAGGCCGGCACGCUCCUGUCCUGGGAGAGAAGGGGCUGACCGGGAGCUAGGGAACACGACCUCCCCGGCACUUCUGUGUACAAGUGCAUCCCGACUGGUGCCCUGUUCAGUUCCUGAAACGUCCUGGCGGGUGGCACCGAGCUCAGUGAAGAGGGGGCAGGCAGGCCGUGACGGGCCUGGAGUACCACUCUUGGGCCACUCACGGACAGGCCCUGGCCAAGUGCUGGCUGCUGGGCAAAGAGCAAUGGUGGGGUGCAGUGACCCCUGGCCUCUUGAAGAAGCUUCCUGUGAGGGCCUGUUCUUAACAUCCGUGUCACGUGAGGCUCUCCCUGCCCUCCUUCGUCCCACUCCGGAUCCCAUCCACCCUGCUCCCUGCCUGCCCUGGGGCUAGCGGGGCAACUUCCCUUCUGCAGCCGGGUGUCCUUUGUCGUGGGUGGCCGUGCUGGGCACUGUGCAAGCUCGGUCGCCUCCCGGGCCUCCACCUGCUCGGUCGUGAUGACCCAAGUGUCCCUGGACAUUGCCAAGUGUCCCGGGGGUGCAGAGGCCCCCUGAGAACCUUUCCACCUUCCUGGGGCUCACAGGGAAGAAGCCUGGGGCUAGGGCAGCCCUGUGGGCUGGUGAGCAAGGAGAAGAGGCGGUGGCUUCUCAGCUGGACCCAGCGUGAGUCGAAGAGACAGGAGGAUGGGUGUCUCCAGCCAAGGGCACCGCAUGCCCCAGGCCUGGAUGUGUAAGCGAUGGACCAGGCAGCGGCGCUGGGUGGAGGAGGAUGGCUAGGCCCAGCCAGGCAGAGGGUGGGCAGGAGGCUGCCCUGUGCAGCCUGGGCUGUGCCAGGAGGGUGUAGGAGAUGCAGGUUGGGCGUCGGGGAGAAGAGGG
Molecule: long non-coding RNA, 1504 nt
Filed under: Fukomys damarensis (Damara mole-rat)
Lineage: Eukaryota; Metazoa; Chordata; Mammalia; Rodentia; Bathyergidae
Description: lncRNA (ENSFDAG00000032988.1)
Source: RNAcentral